ACACUGAGGCGUGAUGACGAGGCACUACGGUGCUGAAGCAACAAAUGCCCUGCUUCCAGGAAAAGCCUCUAAGCAUCAGGUAACAUCAAAUCGUACCCCAAACCGACACAGGUGGUCAGGUAGAGAAUACCAAGGCGCUUGAGAGAACUCGGGUGAAGGAACUAGGCAAAAUGGUGCCGUAACUUCGGGAGAAGGCACGCUGACACGUAGGUGAAGUGAUUUACUCAUGGAGCUGAAGUCAGUCGAAGAUACCAGCUGGCUGCAACUGUUUAUUAAAAACACAGCACUGUGCAAACACGAAAGUGGACGUAUACGGUGUGACGCCUGCCCGGUGCCGGAAGGUUAAUUGAUGGGGUCAGCGCAAGCGAAGCUCCUGAUCGAAGCCCCGGUAAACGGCGGCCGUAACUAUAACGGUCCUAAGGUAGCGAAAUUCCUUGUCGGGUAAGUUCCGACCUGCACGAAUGGCGUAAUGAUGGCCAGGCUGUCUCCACCCGAGACUCAGUGAAAUUGAACUCGCUGUGAAGAUGCAGUGUACCCGCGGCAAGACGGAAAGACCCCGUGAACCUUUACUAUAGCUUGACACUGAACAUUGAGCCUUGAUGUGUAGGAUAGGUGGGAGGCUUUGAAGYGUGGACGCCAGUCUGCRUGGAGCCGACCUUGAAAUACCACCCUUUAAUGUUUGAUGUUCUAACGUGGACCCGURAUCCGGGUUGCGGACAGUGUCUGGUGGGUAGUUUGACUGGGGCGGUCUCCUCCUAAAGAGUAACGGAGGAGCACGAAGGUUGGCUAAUCCUGGUCGGACAUCAGGAGGUUAGUGCAAUGGCAUAAGCCAGCUUGACUGCGAGCGUGACGGCGCGAGCAGGUGCGAAAGCAGGUCAUAGUGAUCCGGUGGUUCUGAAUGGAAGGGCCAUCGCUCAACGGAUAAAAGGUACUCCGGGGAUAACAGGCUGAUACCGCCCAAGAGUUCAUAUCGACGGCGGUGUUUGGCACCUCGAUGUCGGCUCAUCACAUCCUGGGGCUGAAGUAGGUCCCAAGGGUAUGGCUGUUCGCCAUUUAAAGUGGUACGCGAGCUGGGUUUAGAACGUCGUGAGACAGUUCGGUCCCUAUCUGCCGUGGGCGCUGGAGAACUGAGGGGGGCUGCUCCUAGUACGAGAGGACCGGAGUGGACGCAUCACUGGUGUUCGGGUUGUCAUGCCAAUGGCACUGCCCGGUAGCUAAAUGCGGAAGAGAUAAGUGCUGAAAGCAUCUAAGCACGAAACUUGCCCCGAGAUGAGUUCUCCCUGAGACUUAGAGUCUCCUGAAGGAACGUUGAAGACGACGACGUUGAUAGGCCGGGUGUGUAAGCGCAGCGAUGCGUUGAGCUAACCGGUACUAAUGAACCGUGAGGCUUAACCUUACAACGCCGAAG
Molecule: ribosomal RNA, 1408 nt
Filed under: Salmonella enterica subsp. enterica serovar Infantis
Lineage: Bacteria; Pseudomonadati; Pseudomonadota; Gammaproteobacteria; Enterobacterales; Enterobacteriaceae
Description: partial 23S ribosomal RNA
Source: RNAcentral